AACAUCGCGCACCUGCGGGAACCUGCGGAGGGAUCAUUAAUGAUUGGUGGCUGUUGCUGACUAGUGUUUCUAGUAUGUGCACGCCACACCUUCAAUCCCACUUACACCUGUGCACCUUCUGUAAUAGAUCUGUGGAUACGGAGAUAUGAAAGUUUGCGCUCUCGUACUCUGUUGAAGCAGUCUACUACGUUUUUUUACACACACACAAUAGUCAUUGAAUGUAUUUUUUAUUCUUAUGAU
RNAcentral lists this unclassified non-coding RNA (240 nucleotides) under soil metagenome. Its description in RNAcentral is "partial contains 5.8S ribosomal RNA, internal transcribed spacer 2, and large subunit ribosomal RNA". The record is from RNAcentral.